UACGGAGGGGGCGAGCGUUGUUCGGAGUUACUGGGCGUAAAGCGCACGUAGGCGGUGCGGUAAGUCAGGGGUUAAAGGCUGCAGCUCAACUGCAGUAAGGCCUUUGAUACUAUCGUGCUAGAGUGUCAGAGAGGAUGGCGGAAUUCCCGGUGUAGCGGUGAAAUGCGUAGAUAUAGGGAGGAACACCGGUUGCGAAGGCGGCUACCUGGCCGGUAACUGACGCUGAGGUGCGAGAGCGUGGGGAGCAAACAGG
RNAcentral lists this ribosomal RNA (253 nucleotides) under uncultured microorganism. Its description in RNAcentral is "partial 16S ribosomal RNA". It matches the Rfam family "Bacterial small subunit ribosomal RNA", at positions 524 to 776 of the family's 1533-position model. The record is from RNAcentral.